This 371-nucleotide ribosomal RNA is filed under the name uncultured organism. RNAcentral describes it as "partial 16S ribosomal RNA". It matches the Rfam family "Bacterial small subunit ribosomal RNA", at positions 527 to 896 of the family's 1533-position model. The record is from RNAcentral.
GUAGGUGGCAAGCGUUGUCCGGAAUUAUUGGGCGUAAAGCGCGCGCAGGCGGUUUUUUAAGUCUGAUGUGAAAGCCCACGGCUCAACCGUGGAGGGUCAUUGGAAACUGGAGAACUUGAGUACAGAAGAGGAAAGCGGAAUUCCACGUGUAGCGGUGAAACGCGUAGAGAUGUGGAGGAACACCAGUGGCGAAGGCGGCUUUCUGGUCUGUAACUGACGCUGAGGCGCGAAAGCGUGGGGAGCAAACAGGAUUAGAUACCCUGGUAGUCCACGCCGUAAACGAUGAGUGCUAAGUGUUAGGGGGUUUCCGCCCCUUAGUGCUGCAGCUAACGCAUUAAGCACUCCGCCUGGGGAGUACGGCCGCAAGGCUG